GAAUUGUUCGCAAUGGGCGCAAGCCUGACGACGCAACGCCGCGUGGGGGAUGAAGGUCUUCGGAUUGUAAACCCCUGUUGGGUGGGACGAACAUUGCCGUUGUGAACAGCCACGGGAACUGACGGUACCACCUGAGGAAGCCCCGGCUAACCCUGUGCCAGCAGCCGCGGUAAUACAGAGGGGGCAAGCGUUGUUCGGAAUUACUGGGCGUAAAGGGCGCGUAGGCGGCCUGUUAAGUCGGACGUGAAAUCCCUCGGCUCAACCGGGGAACUGCGUCCGAUACUGGCGGGCUUGAAUUCGGGAGAGGGAUGUGGAAUUCCAGGUGUAGCGGUGAAAUGCGUAGAUAUCUGGAGGAACACCGGUGGCGAAGGUGGCAUCCUGGACCGACAUUGACGCUGAGGCGCGAAAGCCAGGGGAGCAAACGGG
RNAcentral lists this ribosomal RNA (426 nucleotides) under uncultured bacterium. RNAcentral's name for it is "bacterial SSU rRNA". It matches the Rfam family "Bacterial small subunit ribosomal RNA", at positions 359 to 776 of the family's 1533-position model. The record is from RNAcentral.